UAUCAUCUCAUUUUCUUGAAAUUUUAUUGAAAAUAUUAUUGUGAUGGACUGCACUUUGUAUGUGGAAAUACAUGCGACAAACGAAGUGAGGUAUGAAAAGGCUCUCGAGGACUGGUCUGACAGCCUUGCCCUUGCUUCUUUCCUGGAUCUGUGGUAGCUGGAAGGGUCUGGGCCUGCAUCCAGGGGUGCGUGUCCUGCCUGACCCACGCUCUCCUGGCAGCAGUGGCAUUUGUCACCCCUGCAGUGAGCAGUAGCAAGGAGAGGCAGGCCUUCUCCUGAGCUGAAGGCCUUGCCAGAGUAUUCUGUUGCUCAAACCCUCUGGGUGGGCAGGCAGGCAGCACCCUGGAGGGAGGCAGCUUCUAGCAAGGAGCCCUCUGGGCCUCUACCAGGCAAGAUGUGCUCCUUCUCAGGUGUUUCUACUUCCCUGUCUGGCAGCAGGAAUGGCAAAAAGCUCUGUAGCCUAGGAGGUUGUCCCUGGAAGUGUGCUGUUGGGGAGCUGGGGGAGACCAUCUCCAUCAGCCAUCCACGAGAGGACAGCUGCUGCCUGGAAAAAAAGAGUUCAGGACCCUCUACACUGAAGAGCAGCAAGCCACACACGGCUGCUGGAUGUAACAGGGUGCUGCCUGCGGGUGUGCUGGGAAAGACUUGCGAUUCAUGGGGCCAGAAGGUGAAUUAAUAUGCCACAUUCCACAAUAAUGCUUGUGAAACAUGCACCUCAUCAUUUUUGUGUUUAAGAGGUGCCACAGAUUGCAUAGAAAGUUAUUAAAUGAUUUUAGGGAGCUUAAAAAUACUUUUGAUUUGAUUCUUUCCAUCUCUUUCCCAUCUGUGAGGCAGGUGUCCAGCAUUACAAGCCAACUGAGGGAAAGAAAUGUUACUCUCCAUAAAAUGUUAUGAAUAGGCUAUGAUUCUACAAAAUAGAGUUCUGUGCACAAAGCAAUAUAAAGAUGUAAUUCUCAGGUUCUU
RNAcentral lists this long non-coding RNA (963 nucleotides) under Numida meleagris (helmeted guineafowl). RNAcentral describes it as "lncRNA (ENSNMEG00000013027.1)". Lineage: Eukaryota; Metazoa; Chordata; Aves; Galliformes; Numididae. The record is from RNAcentral.